UGGGGAAUUUUGGACAAUGGGCGCAAGCCUGAUCCAGCCAUGCCGCGUGAGUGAAGAAGGCCUUCGGGUUGUAAAGCUCUUUCAGUUGGGAAGAAACGAUUGCAACUAAUAAUUGUAAUUAAUGACGGUACCGACAGAAGAAGCACCGGCUAACUACGUGCCAGCAGCCGCGGUAAUACGUAGGGUGCGAGCGUUAAUCGGAAUUACUGGGCGUAAAGGGUGCGCAGGCGGUUUUGUAAGUCAGAUGUGAAAUCCCCGGGCUUAACCUGGGAAUGGCGUUUGAAACUGCAAGGCUAGAGUGUAGCAGAGGGGAGUGGAAUUCCGCGUGUAGCAGUGAAAUGACGUAGAUAUGCGGAGGAACACCGGAUGGCGAAGGCAGCUCCCUGGGCUAACGACGUGACC
Molecule: ribosomal RNA, 402 nt
Filed under: uncultured bacterium
Lineage: Bacteria
Description: bacterial SSU rRNA
Rfam family: Bacterial small subunit ribosomal RNA
Source: RNAcentral